Molecule: unclassified non-coding RNA, 408 nt
Filed under: fungal sp.
Lineage: Eukaryota; Fungi
Description: partial internal transcribed spacer region
Rfam family: Eukaryotic small subunit ribosomal RNA (bases 1-46)
Source: RNAcentral
AAGUCGUAACAAGGUUUCCGUAGGUGAACCUGCGGAAGGAUCAUUAACACGUUUCUAUCAUAAAACGUAACACAAAACGCGAACUAAGUUAUUUCGAUCCUGACUGUGCAUGUGAAUUGACGACUAUGUGAGAUAAUGAUGUGGACAGCCGUAAGGUUGUCAUCUCACUAGUUACCAGUUGUGUAGACAUUCGUGUCUGCACAGACAAUUGUGAUGCAUAUAAGUCAGGACAUACAUCUUGCUUGCAACUUACCUCACUUCAUGUGAGUUCAAGCGAGAACACUAUUCACAAAUUUCACCAUACUUUUUGCUAGUUGACUUUAUAUGUUACUAUUCGCAAGGAUCGUAGCACGUUUAUUAAUUGAACGUUAAAUUGUACAACUCUUAGCAAUGGAUAUCUUGGUUCUC